AGCCAUUUGCGUAGAGUAUCCAGU
Molecule: non-coding RNA, 24 nt
Filed under: Arabidopsis thaliana (thale cress)
Lineage: Eukaryota; Viridiplantae; Streptophyta; Magnoliopsida; Brassicales; Brassicaceae
Source: RNAcentral